CCUACGGGCGGCAGCAGUGAGGAAUAUUGGUCAAUGGGCGCGAGCCUGAACCAGCCAAGUCGCGUGAAGGAUGACUGCCCUACGGGUUGUAAACUUCUUUUAUAAAGGAAUAGAGUGAGGCACAUGUGCCUUUUUGUAUGUACUUUAUUAAUAAGGAUCGGCUAACUCCGUGCCAGCAGCCGCGGUAAUACGGAGGAUCCGAGCGUUAUCCGGAUUUAUUGGGUUUAAAGGGAGCGUAGAUGGGUUGUUAAGUAAGUUGUGAAAGUUUGCGGCUCAACCGUAAAAUUGCAAUUGAUACUGGCAGGCUUGAGUACAGUUGAGGUAGGCGGAAUUCGUGGUGUAGCGGUGAAAUGCUUAGAUAUCACGAAGAACUCCGAUUGCGAAGGCAGCUUACUAAACUGCCACUGACAUUGAUGCUCGAAAGUGUGGGUAUCAAACAGGAUUAGAUACCCGAGUAGUC
This 460-nucleotide ribosomal RNA is filed under the name uncultured bacterium. RNAcentral describes it as "partial 16S ribosomal RNA". It matches the Rfam family "Bacterial small subunit ribosomal RNA", at positions 338 to 795 of the family's 1533-position model. The record is from RNAcentral.